Molecule: ribosomal RNA, 305 nt
Filed under: uncultured bacterium
Lineage: Bacteria
Description: bacterial SSU rRNA
Rfam family: Bacterial small subunit ribosomal RNA
Source: RNAcentral
GUUCUCCUACGGGGCGCAGCAGUGGGGAAUAUUGCACAAUGGGCGAAAGCCUGAUGCAGCAACGCCGCGUGAAGGAAGACGGUUUUCGGAUUGUAAACUUCUAUCAAUAGGGAAGAAAGAAAUGACGGUACCUAAAUAAGAAGCCCCGGCUAACUACGUGCCAGCAGCCGCGGUAAUACGUAGGGGGCGAGCGUUAUCCGGAUUUACUGGGUGUAAAGGGAGUGUAGACGGUUCUGCAAGUCUGAAGUGAAAGCCCGUGGCUUAACCGCGGAACGGCUUUGGAAACUGUGGAACUGGAGUGCUGG